CGUCCGCGCGGGCCCGCCCCCGCCCUGUUCCUCCCGCGGCGGGAGACGCGCUGCUGUCGCGUGUCCCAGGACGUUCUCCGGGCGCGCCAGCCUGACAUCCCAGGGCUAGGUGUUUGGGAAGCGCGCCGGGAGAGCCGAGUGCUAUUUAAAUCCGCAGCGAGGCGCCAGGAAGAAAGGAGACGUCACACUUGAGCUGCCGCUUCGAUUCCAAACUUCAUCAUUAAGGAAAGCCACUGCUGCUCCCUUGAGGAAAAGGCAAUGACUAUCUGGAGGAUCCAGCUUGGAUAAAAUGCACAAAGAACGCUCAGUUACUAAAUUUAUCCAUCACAAUUAAAAAAUGACAGAGACUCCUGAUUUAGUAAAGUGCCCACCUCCAGCAUCUAGGACAAUGUCCACUCCGAGACCACCUGUUUCUUCUAAACAGCUUUCAGCCACAUGGGCUUUCCCGUUAGACACAUCGAUCACUCGAGCUGCAAAGGACAGGAAGUCAGGCGAUUGUACUGUUCUCUAUGUGAUCAACACAGCUCCCAGAGGAAGAGCAAG
Molecule: long non-coding RNA, 543 nt
Organism: Budorcas taxicolor (takin)
Lineage: Eukaryota; Metazoa; Chordata; Mammalia; Artiodactyla; Bovidae
Exons: 3
Source: RefSeq, a predicted model, not a curated record